ACGGGAGGCAGCAGUGGGGAAUAUUGCACAAUGGGCGCAAGCCUGAUGCAGCAACGUCGCGUGAGGGAAGACGGUCUUCGGAUUGUAAACCUUUGUCUUUGGUGAAGAAACAAUGACGGUAGCCAAGGAGGAAGCCACGGCUAACUACGUGCCAGCAGCCGCGGUAAUACGCAGGUGGCAAGCGUUGUCCGGAAUUACUGGGUGUAAAGGGAGCGCAGGCGGGACAGCAAGUUGGAUGUGAAAUACCGAGGCGUAACCACGGAGCUGCAUCCAAAACUGUUGUUCUUGAGUGAAGUAGAGGCAGGCGGAAUUCCGAGUGUAGCGGUGAAAUGCGUAGAUAUUCGGAGGAACACCAGUGGCGAAGGCGGCCUGCUGGGCUUUAACUGACGCUGAGGCUCGAAAGUGUGGGGAGCAAACAGGAUUAGAUACCCUGGUA
Molecule: ribosomal RNA, 436 nt
Filed under: uncultured Oscillospiraceae bacterium
Lineage: Bacteria; Bacillati; Bacillota; Clostridia; Eubacteriales; Oscillospiraceae
Description: partial 16S ribosomal RNA
Rfam family: Bacterial small subunit ribosomal RNA
Source: RNAcentral